RNAcentral lists this ribosomal RNA (254 nucleotides) under uncultured bacterium. RNAcentral's name for it is "partial 16S ribosomal RNA". It matches the Rfam family "Bacterial small subunit ribosomal RNA", at positions 524 to 776 of the family's 1533-position model. The record is from RNAcentral.
UACGUAGGGUGCAAGCGUUUGUCCGGAAUUAUUGGGCGUAAAGAGCUCGUAGGCGGUCUGUUGCGUCGGCUGUGAAAACCCGGGGCUCAACCCCGGGCCUGCAGCCGAUACGGGCAGACUAGAGUUCGGCAGGGGAGACUGGAAUUCCUGGUGUAGCGGUGAAAUGCGCAGAUAUCAGGAGGAACACCGGUGGCGGAGGCGGGUCUCUGGGCCGAUACUGACGCUGAGGAGCGAAAGCGUGGGGAGCAAACAGG